Molecule: non-coding RNA, 149 nt
Filed under: Aminomonas paucivorans
Lineage: Bacteria; Thermotogati; Synergistota; Synergistia; Synergistales; Synergistaceae
Also listed under: 1 other name
Description: FMN sequence
Rfam family: FMN riboswitch aptamer (RFN element)
About the family: The RFN element is a highly conserved domain that is found frequently in the 5'-untranslated regions of prokaryotic mRNAs that encode for flavin mononucleotide (FMN) biosynthesis and transport proteins. This element is a metabolite-dependent riboswitch that directly binds FMN in the absence of proteins.
Source: RNAcentral
UUCCGUUCUCGGGGCGGGGUGAAAGUCCCCACCGGCGGUAUCCCGGAGUUCUCCGGGGAGCCCGCGAGCGCCCUUCCGCCAGGAAGGGGCCAGCAGAUCUGGUGAGAGGCCAGGGCCGACGGUCACAGUCCGGAGGGUAGAGAGAGGAG